RNAcentral lists this ribosomal RNA (834 nucleotides) under Gregorella humida. RNAcentral's name for it is "LSU rRNA". It matches the Rfam family "Eukaryotic large subunit ribosomal RNA", at positions 103 to 955 of the family's 3401-position model. The record is from RNAcentral. Lineage: Eukaryota; Fungi; Ascomycota; Lecanoromycetes; Arctomiales; Arctomiaceae.
AACAGCUCAAAUUUGAAAUCUGACCUUCGCGGUCCGAGUUGUAAUUUGCAGAGGAUGUCUCGGGGGCGGUGCCGGUCUAAGUUCCUUGGAACAGGACGUCGUAGAGGGUGAGAAUCCCGUAUGCGAUCGGCGGCCAACCCCAUGUGAGACCCCUUCGACGAGUCGAGUUGUUUGGGAAUGCAGCUCUAAAUGGGUGGUAAAUUUCAUCUAAAGCUAAAUACCGGCCAGAGACCGAUAGCGCACAAGUAGAGUGAUCGAAAGAUGAAAAGCACUUUGGAAAGAGAGUGAAAAAGUACGUGAAAUUGUUGAAAGGGAAGCGCUUGCAACCAGACUCGUCCGCGGGUGAUCAGCCGUCCCUCGGGGCGGUGCACUCGCCCGCGAUCGGGCCAGCAUCGGUUCUGGCGGCCGGAUAAAGGGCCCGGGAACGUAGCUCCUUUCGGGGAGCGUUACAGCCCGGGCUGCCAUGCGGCCUGCCGGGACCGAGGACCGCGCUUCGGCUAGGAUGCUGGCGUAAUGGUUGUCAGCGACCCGUCUUGAAACACGGACCAAGGAGUUGAACAAUUUUGCGAGUGUUUGGGUGUCAAACCCAUGCGCGCAAUGAAAGUGAACGGAGGUGAGAGCUCCUCCGGGGGCGCAUCAUCGACCGAUCCUGAAGUCUUCGGAUGGAUUUGAGUAUGAGCAAAACUGUUCUGACCCGAAAGAUGAUGAACUAUGCCUGAAUAGGGUGAAGCCAGAGGAAACUCUGGUGGAGGCUCGCAGCGGUUCUGACGUGCAAAUCGAUCGUCAAAUUUGGGCAUAGGGGCGAAAGACUAAUCGAAUCAUCUAGUAGCUGGU